UACGGAGGAUCCAAGCGUUAUCCGGAUUUAUUGGGUUUAAAGGGUGCGUAGGCGGCUUAUUAAGUCAGGGGUGAAAGACGGUAGCUCAACUAUCGCAGUGCCUUUGAUACUGAUGGGCUUGAAUGAACUAGAGGUAGGCGGAAUGAGACAAGUAGCGGUGAAAUGCAUAGAUAUGUCUCAGAACACCGAUUGCGAAGGCAGCUUACUAUGGUUUUAUUGACGCUGAGGCACGAAAGCGUGGGGAUCAAACAGG
This 253-nucleotide ribosomal RNA is filed under the name uncultured bacterium. RNAcentral's name for it is "partial 16S ribosomal RNA". It matches the Rfam family "Bacterial small subunit ribosomal RNA", at positions 524 to 776 of the family's 1533-position model. The record is from RNAcentral.